Molecule: transfer RNA, 61 nt
Filed under: Cordylochernes scorpioides
Lineage: Eukaryota; Metazoa; Arthropoda; Arachnida; Pseudoscorpiones; Chernetidae
Description: tRNA-Glu
Source: RNAcentral
AGUUCCGAAAAUCGAACCCGGGCCUUCUGGGUGAAAGCCAAAUAUCCAAGCCACUAGAUCC